This 908-nucleotide long non-coding RNA is filed under the name Medicago truncatula (barrel medic). RNAcentral's name for it is "lncRNA gene2748". Lineage: Eukaryota; Viridiplantae; Streptophyta; Magnoliopsida; Fabales; Fabaceae. The record is from RNAcentral.
CCAAAUCGCAUGCAAUUAACUAUAACGGUCAACCAUUUAGUGGUGUCAUAGUACGAUUAAAACGCGUAUGACAAAGGGUAUAAGGGUCAUUACAAUGCAUGCGUACUUUAUCAUCGUACGCCGGAAAACCCAUUUCCACAGAGCAAAUUAGCAGAAAACCUAGUUUCACGAAAUCGGAAUGAAGAGGAAAAGGUACGUACCGAUCUUCUUGACAUUGGUGUUGGUGAAGUGAUACAUGAGAAGAUGAACAGUUCUCAAACUGAAGCUCUGAUUGUAAGAAGACAAAGCCCUCUGCAAUUCUUUAUCAUCGAUCAAACCACUUCCAUCUUGAUCCGCCACUUGAAAGCAUGCAACGAUGCUUGGAUCGGUACCGGGAGGGAAUGUUGACGGAACCAGUGAAGCGAACGGGCUUGCGUACGCCGGUGGUGGGUAGGUAGCGCCACCGCCGCCGGAGGAGUGAGAAUCUUCCUUUGGUGGUUUCUGGUAAGGGGCGGCGUAAGGAGCGGAGGGUUGGCCGUAGGAGGUGGGGGGUGGUGCGCCGUAGGAUUGAGAUGGCGGUGGUGCGCCGUAGGAUUGAGAUGGAGGAGGAGCGCCGUAGGAUUGGGAUGGUGGAUGUGAGCCGUGGGAUUGAGAUGGAGGAGGGGCACCGUAGGAUGAUGGUGGAUGUGAGCCGUGAGAUUGGGAAGGAGGUGGUGCGCCGUAGGAUUGGGAAGGAGGUGGUGCGCCGUAGCCGUAACCGUAACUGGGAGGUUGAUUUGGGUAGCCGGACAUGUUGAAGAGUGAGAGGGUUUGUUAGAGAAAAUUAUAUGAGUGAAGAAGAGCAGAGACAAAUGAUAGUGGAUUUUGUGGAGGUUCUGGAUUUAUAUACAGCUACUCCUGAUAUAUGCUGAGGUGGAAUGGUUAUGUGG